RNAcentral lists this unclassified non-coding RNA (449 nucleotides) under Pythium arrhenomanes. RNAcentral describes it as "ITS2". Lineage: Eukaryota; Oomycota; Peronosporomycetes; Pythiales; Pythiaceae. The record is from RNAcentral.
CAUCAAACUUGCCUUUCUUUUUUUGUGUAGUCAAGGAGAGAGAUGGCAGAUGUGAGGUGUCUCGCUGACUCCCUCUUCGGAGGAGAAGACGCGAGUCCCUUUAAAUGUACGUUCGCUCUUUCUUGUGUCUGAGAGAAGUGUGACCUUCGAAUGCGGUGAUCUGUUUGGAUCGCUUUGCGCGAGUGGGCGACUUCGGUUAGGACGUUAAAGGAAGCAACCAUUUUUGGCGGUAUGUUAGGCUUCGGCCCGACGUUGCAGCUGAGAGUGUGUGGUUUUCUGUUCUUUCCUUGAGGUGUACCUGUUUGUGUGAGGCAAUGGUCUGAGCAAAUGGUUAUUGUGUGAGAGUGGUUAUUGCUCUUGGACGCUCUAUUCGUAGAGUAAAGAAGGCAACACCAAUUUGGGACUAGUCUGUGGAAUGAAUGAAUUUUUAUUUCGCGGGCGCUUUUCAA